UACCAGCUCUCCGAGUAGUGUGGAUGUUUAUUGGGCCUAAAGCAUCAGUAGCUUGCUAAGCAAGUCCCCUGUUAAAUCCACCGAUUCAAUCGGUGGAUUGCGGGGGAUACUGUUUGGCUAGGGGACGGGAGAGGCCGACGGUAUUUCCGGGGUAGGGGUGAAAUCCUAUAAUCCCGGGAAGACCACCAGUGGCGAAGGCUGUCGGCUAGAACGCGCCCGACGGUGAGGGAUGAAAGCUGGGGGAGCGAACCGGAUUAGAUACCCGGGUAGUCCCAGCUGUAAACGAUGCAGGCUAGGUGUUUGGGCGGCCGCGAGCCGCUCUAGUGCCGCAGGGAAGCUGUUAAGCCUGCCGCCUGGGGAGUACGGCCGCAAGGCUGAAACUUAAGGAAUUGGCGGGGGAGCACCACAAGGGGUGAAGCUUGCGGUUU
This 428-nucleotide ribosomal RNA is filed under the name uncultured archaeon. Its description in RNAcentral is "bacterial SSU rRNA". It matches the Rfam family "Archaeal small subunit ribosomal RNA", at positions 474 to 903 of the family's 1478-position model. The record is from RNAcentral.